GUGUCAGCCGCCGCGGUAAUACGUAGGGGGCAAGCGUUGUCCGGAUUUAUUGGGCGUAAAGAGCGUGUAGGCGGCCAGAUAAGUGGGUUGUGAAAACUGAAGGCUUAACCUUCAGACGUCGACCCAAACUAUCUGGCUAGAGUCCGGAAGAGGAGAGUGGAAUUCCUGGUGUAGCGGUGAAAUGCGCAGAUAUCAGGAAGAACACCCGUGGCUAAGGCGGCUCUCUAGUACGGUACUGACGCUGAGACGCGAAAGCGUGGGGAGCGAACAGGAUUAGAUACCCUGGUAGUCCACGCCGUAAACGAUGGGUGCUAGGUGUGGGCGGUGUCGACUCCGUCCGUGCCGAAGCUAACGCAUUAAGCACCCCGCCUGGGGAGUACGGCCGCAAGGCUAAA
Molecule: ribosomal RNA, 395 nt
Filed under: uncultured bacterium
Lineage: Bacteria
Description: bacterial SSU rRNA
Rfam family: Bacterial small subunit ribosomal RNA
Source: RNAcentral